RNAcentral lists this ribosomal RNA (468 nucleotides) under uncultured bacterium. RNAcentral describes it as "partial 16S ribosomal RNA". It matches the Rfam family "Bacterial small subunit ribosomal RNA", at positions 28 to 507 of the family's 1533-position model. The record is from RNAcentral.
GACGAACGCUGGCGGCGUGCUUAACACAUGCAAGUCGAACGGAAAGGCCCUGCUUUUGUGGGGUGCUCGAGUGGCGAACGGGGGAGUAACACGUGAGUAACCUGCCCUUGACUGUGGGAUAACUUCAGGAAACUGGGGCUAAUACCGGAUAGGAGCUCCUGCUGCAUGGUGGGGGUUGGAAAGUUUCGGCGGUUGGGGAUGGACUCGCGGCUUAUCAGCUUGUUGGUGGGGUAGUGGCUUACCAAGGCUUUGACGGGUAGCCGGCCUGAGAGGGUGACCGGCCACAUUGGGACUGAGAUACGGCCCAGACUCCUACGGGAGGCAGCAGUGGGGAAUAUUGCACAAUGGGCGGAAGCAUGAUGCAGCAACGCCGCGUGCGGGAUGACGGCCUUCGGGUUGUAAACCGCUUUCGCCUGUGCCGAAGCGUGAGUGACGGUAAUGGGUAAAGAAGCACCGGCUAACUACGUG